UUUCUUUUCUUUUUUCUUUUUUUCACUGAAAGACUUCUUUUAUUUAUUUAUUUUUCCACUGUACAGCAUGGGGACCAAAUUACACAUACACGUAUACAUAUUUUUUUCUCCCAUUGUUGUGUUCUGAUGUUAGUAUCUAGACAUAGUUCUCAAUGCUACACAGCGGGAUCUCACUGUAAAUCCAUUCCAAGAGCAAUAGUUUGCAUCUGUUAACCCCAAGCUCCCGAUCCCUCCUGCUCCCUCCCUCCCCCCCACCCCCGCAGCCACAUGUCUAUGAUUUUCUUUUCUGUGGAAAUGUUCAUUUAUGCUGUAUAUUAGAUUCCAGUUGUAAGUGAUAUCAUAUGGUAUUUGUCUUUCUCUUUCUGACUUAUUUCAGUCAGUAUGAGAGUCUCUAUUUCCAUCCAUGUUGCUGCAAAUGGCAUUAUGUCAUUCUUUUUUACGGCUGAGUAGUAUUCCUAAUUUUACUUCCUCUGCAUCUCAGAAGCUUAGCAGGCCUAGUCCAUAAUCGGCAUUAAAUAAAUGUAUUUUGAAUGAGUGGAUGGGUAAAGGAGACUGAUUCUUUAGGAAGUCACCUCUUUCUCUGAGAAGUCACAUUCCCUGGAACUGACAGCAGACCCUGACAACAUACAUUUCUGCUUUUUUAAAUUACAGUUGAUUUACAAUGUUGUGCCAAUUUCUGCUGGGCAGCAAAGUGACCCAGUCUUAUACACAUUAUUUUUCUCAUGUUGUCUUCCAUCGUGGUCUCUCCACAAGAGAUUGGAUAGAGUUGCCUGUGCUAUACAGUAGGACCUCCUUGCUUACCCAUUCUAAAUGGAAUAGUUUGCAUCUCUAACCCUAAACUCCCCAUCCAUCCCACUCCCUCCUCCCGCCCCCUUGGCACCCACAAGUCUGUGCUCCAUGUCUGUGAGUCUGUUUCCAUUUUGUAGAUAGGUUUGUUUGUGCCAUAUUUGAGAUUCCACAUAUUAGUGCUAUCAUACGGUAUUUGUCUUUCUCCUUCUGACUUACUUCACUUAGUGUGAGAAUCUCUAGUUGCAUCCACAUAUAAUUCUGAUUCUGCAUGGCUAGGAUUCCUUUGCCCUUAUUGCAUGGAACCUAGAUUUUGCUUUGGGGAACCACUCGUUCCCAAUUGGUGGCAGUUUUAUAGGAGACUGUAAACAGCCACAUACUUCCAAAGAAGGGGAGCAUGUGAUCAAACACAGGUUAACCUUGCUCUUCUUCCCAGAGUUGAAUCUUGAGUGGGGUGACACAAAGAUGGAAAAUAGUAUGGGCUAACUCACCCUCUUUGUAACACUCAGAGAAAGCUAUCCAAUAGGACUCACUGUCUGGGUUCCCAGAAGUGGCUUUUAAGUUUUCCCUUCAUUUCUCUGAGCUUCCCACUAUCCCUCCAACUAAUUACUUAUUUUGCAGGAUCUCCAUAGUUAGUUUCUAUUGCCUGCCACCAAAGAACUCUGAGUGAUAAAAGAAGAUUGGGAUGUAGAUGUUUAAGCAGAGACCCACCUGCAGCACAGAGGCUCUGGGAAGCUGAUGGCCCCUUCAUGGGCUGUGCUGGUGUGAGAUGCACCAGGAAGCUGGCCUCAGCCUUGUAGUUGGUAGACCAGGUCUCUCCUCUGGGACAUGCAUAAUUGGAAUGGUGCUGCCAGAGUCUGAGGCCAGCCAAGCAGCCUGUGAUUGUAGGAACAUUAAUUUGUCUCUAGAAAGAGGAAAACAUGCUUUAGUAAAUUUGAAAGGUAAACAGUAGAUGGCAGAAUGUUAUGUAAUACUCUCCAAUGAAUGUGUUGGGUCAAAUUCUUUGUAACUGGUAAAAAGAAACAAUUAUAUCAUCAGAAAUUGUCUUCACCAAGAGUGCGACGUGUUUACGUGUGCUUAAAGCACACCAGCCUCACAGGCCCGUAUGGGGCUGAAUUCAGUGGGACAGGCACUUAACAGUAGGAGCUGCAACAUCCUGGAGUCUCCUAGGGCUGAAGAUCCCAGGCUGGGAUUCGGGGGUUUGUUAUGGUCCACCCUGGUAUUGGACAGAAUUUCCUAUAAGUUCAAUCACCAUUUGUGGUGUGCUGUCUGUGCUAGGCACUGUGCAGAUGUGGAAAAACUUUGGGUGGGUAGGAGGUAUGAUGACCCCAAUAAUUCAUGCCUCUGUAUAAUCCCCUUCCUUGAGUUUGGGUAGGACCUGUGACUUGAGUCUAACUAACACAUUAAAACAAAAGUAAUGUAAUGAGGUAUCACUCCCUUGAUUACAUUUGUAUAUAUACAUACUAUGUGUAUAUAUGUAUUUCUAUAUUAUAUAUGUAUGUAUGCAUAUGUCAUAAGCACAUAUUAUAUAUACCAUUAUACCAUUAUAUAUACUAUAUAUACUUGUAAGUAUAUAUACCUAUACUUUUUAGAUUUUUUACAUUAAAGUUGUAGUUGAUUUAUAGUGUUAUGCCAAUUUCUGCUCUACAGCAUAGAGACCCUGUCAUGCAUAGAUAUACAUUCUUUUUCUCACAUCAUCCCCCAUCAUCUUCUGUCCCAAGAGACUGGAUAUAGUUUCUUGUGCUGUACAACAGGACCUCAUUGCUUAUCCAUUCUAAAUGUAAUAGUUUGCAUCUACUAACCCCAAACUCCAAGUCCAUCCCACUCCCUCCCCCUUUCCUUGGAGACAAGUGUGUUCUCCAUAUUAACUGUAUUUAUAAUACUGUUAUUAUGUAAUACAUAUAUAAUAACGUGUAUGUGUGCAUAUAUACAUAUAAAUAUAUGUAUGUAUAUACAUUUAAUUAUCAUUAUUUACAAUAGUAUCAUUCUGUAAAUUUGCCAUAUUUUAUAGAUAUAUAUGUGCAUACAACAUAUACACACAUAGAUGUACAAUAUAUACACAUAUGUAUAUACGUGUAUCUUUUCUAUAAGAAUAAUGGAACAGUGGAUCUGUAUUCACUACUUCAGUGUUCCCAGUGAAUACAGGUGUAUUACAUAUUUUCCUCAUAAUAGAUAAUAAUCUUAAAUCUGGAAAACAGCUUAUCCUGGUAGAUUCUCUUUUCCCUAUUUUUGCAAAGGAGAAAAUGGGGUUCAGAAGUGAUAAGUGACUUGCCUGAGGCCACCCUGUAACAGGUGCCACAGCUGAGAUUUAAACCCCAUCUCCCUGGCCUCAAAGCUUUAGCUUUUUGCAUUGCUCUUAACUGCCCUCUCCUGUCCCCAGCCUCUGGUCCUCUCUGUAGGAGAGCUGAAACAAGAAGCCAGAGCAUUGUCUUGGUCUACCUCAGCUGGACAUCUGUGUUGGGCGACUCAGAUUUUUCCUGCUAUGUGCAUUCUUGCACAAAUGUCACCAAAAGCACCUCGUAUAUUGAUUUUGAAGUUUCAAAUAUAUUUCAGCAAGGAGGCUAAUUCAAAAAUACAGAGCCCACCAGUAGUGAGGGUUGACCCAGUGUGUGGGUUACUGCUAAUAGAUGCCCAGAGAAAGUCCCCUUGUUGGUUUUGAAGAAGGGAGCUUCCAUAUUGUGUGAGGGGCCUCUGGAAAGUGCCACAUGGCAAGACAUUCCAGGAAACCUCUAGGAGUUGGAAGCAGCCAGCAAAACAGGGACCUUGGUCCCUACUUCUGUAAGGAUAUGGAUUCUGCUAACGUGCUGGGGGAGCCUGGAGUGGCUCUUUCCUCAGGUGAGCCUCUGUUGAGACACAGCCCCCACUGGCACCUGGAUUUCCACCUGACGAAGACCCUGAGUGUAGGACCCAGCUGAGCUCUGCCUGGACUCCUGAUCCAGAGAUACAAUAGGAAAAAAGGGUAUUGUUUGAAGGCUCUGAAUUUGUGAUGGUUUCGAGAAGCCAUGUGGGAAGUGAGUGCUUUACACAUAAGUACGUAGGGACCAGCAGCCCUGGUCGAAGAGCUCAUCUCCAAACCAUCCAGGUGUGAUACCUGGUUGUUCAGGAUCCAAGCCAGCAGGUAUGGUGGGGUCAUCAGGACAGGGACCCCACCAAGUGCAAGAGAGUCCUGAGGCCAGGCCAGAGGGAUGUGGCCAUCUGGCAGCUGAGAAAUAAGGAAGCGAGACCACUUGGAUGACCAGGUAACCAAUGGAGAUGCUAAAGCUAACACGAUGGCAUAAGCAGUCUACCAACUGAGAGGACAGAGUAGGUGAGGUUCUGAGAUUAAAGCAUUUAUGCAGUUUUGCAAAUGUCUAGACUCACUACAUAAUUCACUGUUUUCCCAGCUGCCCCUGACCCUAUGAUGUCACGUUAGGGUGUUUUAAGUGUCAGGAAGUUUUCAGAUCCUUGCAAAGGCAAUAUUCUGGUUGCCAUGGAAGAGAGCUUAGUGGAUGGACGUGGGUGUAAUGCAUCCUGGUGUGAAUUGUUAAGCACAUCAACCUUUCUGUUGCCAGCAGCCGCCUUAGAUGAUAAAUCUCCCUCCUGCCAGUGAGCACUUUAACCCUUUCCUGACGCUAAUUUCAUAAGUAGGAGAUGACCUCUUUGGGUAAUGAGGCUUGGAAACCAUCCAAAGAGUAGACUUUGCAUUAAGAAAAAAGGUUGUUCAGUUUACAAUUAGUGUGAUUCCAAUUUAUUUUAAAGAUAUGCAUGCAUACACACAUACACAUACAUACACACACAGUACAACAACAAAGACCAGAAGCUGCAUGGGAACAUGACAAUGGAUGUGCCUACGUGGAAGAUGUGGGGGUGAAUUUUAUUUACUUUUUCUCUUCCACUUAUUCCUUUUUGUUCUAUACACACUACCUGUGGAACAACAAAAGGUUAAAAAACUCAUUAUAUAUUGGGGGAAAGAGAAAGAUUCUUUCUUAGAGGUCAGGCCCUUCUUUCAAUCAUGCUGCCAUGGACAGUGGGUGGUGAUGGAUUUCAGUGUGGGUGUCUGCGAAGGAUGCAGCAAGCAUUCUGGUUUCAGAACUUUUGGUGCCAGUGAAAUGAAAUAAUAUUAAAUGUCACCUUCAGGGACUCCCUCCUUCCUGCUCUAUCCAAGCUGAAUUCCAUCGCUUUGAUUCCCUUUGCCUAGAAUGCCCCUUCCUACUUCUGCUCCCCCAACCUAGCUCAAGUGUUGCCUCUUUGUGGAAGCUCGCCUCUCCCAGAAGAGGCUGGGGCUUCCCUAGGGGACCCUCCUCUGUGCUGCCUUUGUCCCCCACCCACUAUACAUUGUAAUGGCCCUGGCAGUGCCUGCUUUCCCCAGUUAGAGUAGAUGUCUUUCUAUUGCCAGUGUUAUCACAGGGCUUGGGGCACAGCGUAAAGUGCUCCCUAAGUGAGAUAAAUUUGAGCUUAGCUCUCGUUUUUGCCUCAGAGUUGAAAAUGGCUCAGACAUAACCCUAAUAGGAUGGGAGCAAACAUUGUGUGGGACCAAAAUGGGUAGCCAGGGAUUUUUCAUUCUGCAUUUUUCACGCCCUAACUGGGGUGUGCAUGCAAGCCUGAGGGGUAAUGAUUUACCAACCUCAUUUUCCAAGACUGUUAUCCUUCAUCUUGACACACUAUUAAAAUCAUUUAAUUAUCACUAUUUUGCCUUGUCAUUACGGAGCCACUGUGAUCCAUUAUUUAGGGUUUUCAGGUUUUCUGCCUUCCACCUACACAGUGGAGGCAGAAGUUGAGAUUUCCUGCCUGGUUUGGGUUCCAUAGCUUCAUGAACACAGACUUCUGAGGGAAGUUAGCAGGAAUUUUGGGGGUGAUUAGCAGGAUCAGCUGGUCUCCAUUUUCACUAAGAGUUUGAGGAUACCUCAACUCAUUGCCUCAUUGUACUGUAGUUUUUCCUUUUCCACAAACCCUCUAAGAUCAUCACUGUCCUGGAAUUCAGGUUCUCUCUGCCUGGUGCACCCUUUCCAAGGGCUUUGCCAAACCAGUUUCUUGAAACGAUACAUCUCUUAGAGAUGUUGGCCCUGACGCUCAAUUAAAUUAGACCACUUUCCUCUCCUGCCAUUAUUAUCAUAUUACUCUGCUCUUCUGUUUGAUUUUCUAAUUGUAAAUGUAAUACCAUAUAUUUUUUCUUAAUAAAUCUUUAAAUACAGUAGUGUAUAAAAGUCACCCGAAAUAAUCCUACUACCUUGGCACUAAUGAUGGCAAUAUAUUGGGAGGUAUUUCCUUUCAGUUUUUUUCCUUUGCAUUUAAAUUUUUAUUUUGUUCUUCUUUUAUUUUUAAGUGUAUUAUAGAAAAUUUCAUACCCACUGGAAAGCAGAUAGGAAAGUAUAAGUACCAUCCAACUCCAACAAUCAUUACCCAUAUAUCAGGGCAAAUAGUUUUUAAGGAAAGUUCUCCAUAGAAAAACUAUGGAUGCCGCAGGUACGGCCCUCAAAAGACAAAAGCCAAAAGAAAAAGAAAAA
RNAcentral lists this long non-coding RNA (6269 nucleotides) under Sus scrofa (pig). RNAcentral's name for it is "lncRNA (ENSSSCG00050024075.1)". Lineage: Eukaryota; Metazoa; Chordata; Mammalia; Artiodactyla; Suidae. The record is from RNAcentral.